GACGAACGCUGGCGGCGUGCCUAAUACAUGCAAGUCGAACGCAUUUUCUUUCACCGUAGCUUGCUACACCGAAAGAAAAUGAGUGGCGAACGGGUGAGUAACACGUGGGUAACCUGCCCAUCAGCGGGGGAUAACACUUGGAAACAGGUGCUAAUACCGCAUAAUUCCAUUUACCGCAUGGUAGAUGGGUGAAAGGCGCUUUUGCGUCACUGAUGGAUGGACCCGCGGUGCAUUAGCUAGUUGGUGGGGUAACGGCCUACCAAGGCUGCGAUGCAUAGCCGACCUGAGAGGGUGAGCGGCCACACUGGGACUGAGACACGGCCCAGACUCCUACGGGAGGCAGCAGUAGGGAAUCUUCGGCAAUGGACGCAAGUCUGACCGAGCAACGCCGCGUGAGUGAAGAAGGUUUUCGGAUUGUAAAACUCUGUUGUUAGAGAAGAACAAGGAUGAGAGUGGAAAGUUCAUCCCUUGACGGUAUCUAACCAGAAAGCCACGGCUAACUACGUG
Molecule: ribosomal RNA, 507 nt
Filed under: uncultured bacterium
Lineage: Bacteria
Description: partial 16S ribosomal RNA
Rfam family: Bacterial small subunit ribosomal RNA
Source: RNAcentral